UACGAAUUUUCGGAAAUAUCCGAAAUUUUGGGGUGAAAAAAUCGGAAAUACUUUCUACAUCGAAGCGCCAGCGCCCCCUACUUUAGAAACGAGAAUUGAAACAUUUUUUUUUCAUCGAUCGGACAUGCCUAGUACGCAUGCCACCCUCUCCUAAGAUCAUGGAGGAUUUUCUUAUUAGCUAAAGUGGCCCAUUCUCAAAAUAUAUUUGUAGGUUUGGCAGGGAUAAGCCACCUCUUUCCUUUGAGUCUGUUAAAUACUUGAUCCUGGGUUUCUUUCAUUCCCAUAUAAAUUUAGUGAUUUCUCGUUGCCGUUCUUUAACAAGAAAAUUAGUUCUAAUAAUAGGGAUCAAUUGGGAAAGAAAGAGUAAUUUUGGCAAAACACUCAUUUUAAUCACAGAUAUUCUGUGGGGAAUUUUGUCUUGUUGAGAUAUAGUCCCCUUUAUACAGAGUGAUGCUCCCUAGUUGUGUGAUCCAAAGGGGGUUCCCGUGGCAACAGGAAACACAACCACUGUCCCCAUGGCAACAACUGCUCGCAUGGAGCCAGGCUGAAGCGAGGACUCAGGACAGGUAUCGGGUGGGAGGAGGCGAGGGGUGCGAGGAACCAAAGCUGGAUGGAGGACCACAACUUCUACCCGUUACGUGACUAAGCGAUGCCUCCAGGAUGGACCAGAAACAAGACCGGAUCAGUAUCCUCGCACAGCCGAAAAUUAACCACCAGGUCCUCUGCUGCAGGCCCACUGUCUACUGGGUAGAUAAAAUCCCCCCGGAGCACCCGCGAUUUACCGUACCAGUCUUAACCCCAAGGCAGGAAGAGCUGUCGAAAAUUAAGAAAGUGAACUCAGAGUACAAAGCAGACAGACUCACUCCAAUGUGGCCGGUCACGCCAGCUGCUCUGAAAGCAGAGGCCUCGCCCAGAAUUAAGGAACUGGCGCAGCCCCGAUGUUUCACAAACGACUGGUACCGGCCCCGAUCCCUGAUGGUGAGUAAAGGAGCCUUGACUGCCAUUCCCAGCCCACGGAUCAUUGCUUUGGCCGAACCGAAGCACCUGCCACCCGCUCCUCAGAUGCCGCCUAAAAAAAUCCCCCGCGGUCCCAUUGCCGCGGUCGAAAAAUUCGCCGAACUCUCCAAGCCCCGGAUAUUUACCUUCGACGCCCAGGAUCCGUACAAAGUUUCCAAGGCGGCUCUCCAGUAUGUCGCAAGUCCGCGCGUCCUUGAAAUCAGCCGCCCGCCGAGAAGGAGAAGCAAAGUCCCUCACGAUGUGUAGCGGGAUGCUCUCACUCGACUUCGGUCCCAUGUUGAAAACCGAUUAAAGCCGCUCAAUUAUUA
Long non-coding RNA from Anolis carolinensis (green anole), 1325 nucleotides. RefSeq annotates it as sperm microtubule associated protein 2. NCBI's taxonomy places the organism in Eukaryota, Metazoa, Chordata, Lepidosauria, Squamata, Anolidae. The transcript has 7 exons. The record is from RefSeq and is a predicted model, not a curated record.